RNAcentral lists this ribosomal RNA (460 nucleotides) under uncultured bacterium. RNAcentral describes it as "partial 16S ribosomal RNA". It matches the Rfam family "Bacterial small subunit ribosomal RNA", at positions 338 to 795 of the family's 1533-position model. The record is from RNAcentral.
CCUACGGGUGGCAGCAGUGAGGAAUAUUGGUCAAUGGGCGCGAGCCUGAACCAGCCAAGUAGCGUGAAGGAUGACUGCCCUACGGGUUGUAAACUUCUUUUAUAAAGGAAUAAAUUGAGGCACGUGUGCCUUUUUGUAUGUACUUUAUGAAUAAGGAACGGCUAACUCCGUGCCAGCAGCCGCGGUAAUACGGAGGAUCCGAGCGUUAUCCGGAUUUAUUGGGUUUAAAGGGUGCGUAGGCGGCCUUUUGAGUCAGCGGUGAAAUUCUGUUGCUCAACCCUGGAAUUGCCGUUGAAACGGGGCGGCUUGAGGAUGGUUGAGGCAGGUGGAAUGCGUGGUGUAGCGGUGAAAUGCUUAGAGAUGACGAAGAACACCGAUGGCGAAGGCAGCCGGCCAAGCCAUGACUGACGCGGAUGCACGAAAGCGUGGGGAUCAAACAGGAUUAGAUACCCCAGUAGUC